This 711-nucleotide ribosomal RNA is filed under the name Heyndrickxia coagulans. RNAcentral's name for it is "bacterial SSU rRNA". It matches the Rfam family "Bacterial small subunit ribosomal RNA", at positions 105 to 801 of the family's 1533-position model. Lineage: Bacteria; Bacillati; Bacillota; Bacilli; Caryophanales; Bacillaceae. The record is from RNAcentral.
GGUGAGUAACACGUGGGCAACCUGCCUGUAAGAUCGGGAUAACGCCGGGAAACCGGGGCUAAUACCGGAUAGUUUUUUCCUCCGCAUGGAGGAAAAAGGAAAGACGGCUUCGGCUGUCACUUACAGAUGGGCCCGCGGCGCAUUAGCUAGUUGGUGGGGUAACGGCUCACCAAGGCAACGAUGCGUAGCCGACCUGAGAGGGUGAUCGGCCACAUUGGGACUGAGACACGGCCCAAACUCCUACGGGAGGCAGCAGUAGGGAAUCUUCCGCAAUGGACGAAAGUCUGACGGAGCAACGCCGCGUGAGUGAAGAAGGCCUUCGGGUCGUAAAACUCUGUUGCCGGGGAAGAACAAGUGCCGUUCGAACAGGGCGGCGCCUUGACGGUACCCGGCCAGAAAGCCACGGCUAACUACGUGCCAGCAGCCGCGGUAAUACGUAGGUGGCAAGCGUUGUCCGGAAUUAUUGGGCGUAAAGCGCGCGCAGGCGGCUUCUUAAGUCUGAUGUGAAAUCUUGCGGCUCAACCGCAAGCGGUCAUUGGAAACUGGGAGGCUUGAGUGCAGAAGAGGAGAGUGGAAUUCCACGUGUAGCGGUGAAAUGCGUAGAGAUGUGGAGGAACACCAGUGGCGAAGGCGGCUCUCUGGUCUGUAACUGACGCUGANGCGCGAAAGCGUGGGGAGCAAACAGGAUUAGAUACCCUGGUAGUCCACGCC